This is a long non-coding RNA of Mastomys coucha (southern multimammate mouse), 342 nucleotides long. RefSeq lists it as uncharacterized. NCBI's taxonomy places the organism in Eukaryota, Metazoa, Chordata, Mammalia, Rodentia, Muridae. The transcript has 2 exons. The record is from RefSeq and is a predicted model, not a curated record.
UCUUUGUCUCCACCGUAGUUGGCUCCUUCUCUGACUCUUCCUUGGUCACUGAGCCCUGCGGGGGUACUUCAGUGCAGGAAGGGGCAGCUGAAAAUGUUUAAGAUGGUAGUAAAGGUCCAAAUACAUAAGGCAAUUAUGAACUAUAAGGGUUAUACAGCCAGGCUGGCUUAGAACUCACCCUCUGCCUACCUCAGAAUACCCAGUGAUGGGAAUAUAGGUACACACCACCACUGUCCAGCUCCACUUUGUUCUUUCUGGUAAGAUCUGAAUAACCCAGGCUGGCCUUGAACUCAGCAAUCCUCCCACCUCAGCCUCUCUAAAGCCGGCAUUACAGGUAUGUGG